UCGGGACGUAGCGCAGCCUGGUAGCGCAUCACACUGGGGGUGUGGGGGUCGGAGGUUCGAAUCCUCUCGUCCCGACCAA
This 79-nucleotide transfer RNA is filed under the name Sphingobium indicum UT26S. RNAcentral describes it as "Sphingobium japonicum UT26S tRNA-Pro (GGG)". It matches the Rfam family "tRNA". From Rfam's summary of the family: Transfer RNA (tRNA) molecules are approximately 80 nucleotides in length. Their secondary structure includes four short double-helical elements and three loops (D, anti-codon, and T loops). Lineage: Bacteria; Pseudomonadati; Pseudomonadota; Alphaproteobacteria; Sphingomonadales; Sphingobiaceae. The record is from RNAcentral.